AUUGAACGCUGGCGGCAUGCCUUACACAUGCAAGUCGAACGGCAGCACGGGGGCAACCCUGGUGGCGAGUGGCGAACGGGUGAGUAACAUAUCGGAACAUACCCUAGAGUGGGGGAUAACGUAGCGAAAGUUACGCUAAUACCGCAUACGAUCUAAGGAUGAAAGUGGGGGAUCUUCGGACCUCAUGCUCAUGGAGUGGCCGAUAUCUGAUUAGCUAGUUGGUGAGGUAAAGGCUCACCAAGGCGACGAUCAGUAGCUGGUUUGAGAGAACGACCAGCCACACUGGAACUGAGACACGGUCCAGACUCCUACGGGAGGCAGCAGUGGGGAAUUUUGGGACAAUGGGGGCAACCCUGAUCCAGCAAUGCCGCGUGAGUGAAGAAGGCCUCGGUUGUAAAGCGUCUUUUGUUCUAGGGAAGGAAACGGUAGAGGUUCUAAUACAGCUUGCUAA
This 451-nucleotide ribosomal RNA is filed under the name uncultured bacterium. Its description in RNAcentral is "bacterial SSU rRNA". It matches the Rfam family "Bacterial small subunit ribosomal RNA", at positions 30 to 500 of the family's 1533-position model. The record is from RNAcentral.